GACGAACGCUGGCGGCGUGCUUAACACAUGCAAGUCGAACGGAAAGGCCCUGCUUUUGUGGGGUGCUCGAGUGGCGAACGGGUGAGUAACACGGGAGUAACCUGCCCUUGACUUUGGGAUAACUUCAGGAAACUGGGGCUAAUACCGGAUAGGAGCUCCUGCUGCAUGGUGGGGGUUGGAAAGUUUCGGCGGUUGGGGAUGGACUCGCGGCUUAUCAGCUUGUUGGUGGGGUAGUGGCUUACCAAGGCUUUGACGGGUAGCCGGCCUGAGAGGGUGACCGGCCCCCUUGGGACUGAGGUACGGCCCAGGUUGCUACCGGAGGCAGCAGUGGGGAAGUUUGCCCAAUGGGCCGAAGCCUGAUGCAGACACCCCGCGUUCGGGAUGACGGCCUUCGUGUGGUAAACCGCUUUCGCCUGUGACGAAGCGUGAGUGACGGUAAUGGGUAAAGAAGCACCGGCUAACUACGUG
This 468-nucleotide ribosomal RNA is filed under the name uncultured bacterium. RNAcentral's name for it is "partial 16S ribosomal RNA". It matches the Rfam family "Bacterial small subunit ribosomal RNA", at positions 28 to 507 of the family's 1533-position model. The record is from RNAcentral.